This is a long non-coding RNA of Haemorhous mexicanus (house finch), 1140 nucleotides long. RefSeq lists it as uncharacterized. The transcript is spliced from 2 exons. The record is from RefSeq and is a predicted model, not a curated record. Lineage: Eukaryota; Metazoa; Chordata; Aves; Passeriformes; Fringillidae.
UCCUUCUCCCUCAGCCAUCUUAGGGAAAGCUUUCCCUUCCCUGCAGUCUCCAUUUUAUGUUCCUGACGCAGAAAAUAAAAAGUGUCUCCUGAGAACUUGAAGAAAAGCUUGAACAGGACACGGGGUUGGAUUUUGAAUGUGCAGGGGAAUAUUGUGAACUUCCCAGCCGACACAGAUAAGAUAAGUGACAAAUCUGUGGGGGAAAACUGACAAUAUCCUCUUGCUUUUAGGGAGAAAAACAUUUCAAAGAGGAUGUGGGCUAUGACAACAGGAGGCCAUUUCCCCUUGUCCACCCUUCCCACAGGAGGUACGAAUGUCACCCCAGCACUGAGAAGAUUAGGCUGGGUUCAUCUUUGAGUGCCCUUGAGCUUCUCUAGGCAGCUGUGCCAGGGCCUCACCACCCUCCCAAGGAAGAAUUUCUCCCACAUAUCCUCUUCCAGCUGCUCUGCCAUCAGCAGGGACACCCUUAACUGGAGCAGAUUACUCAGAGCCCUACUGCUCAGCUCUGCCAUGCUCCUCACUCCCCUUUAAAGAGGAUUUAACCCUUUUUGUGUGGUUUUCUCCCUCCCACCCAUCACAGCAGCUGUUCCUCCUGUCCUGCAGGAGCUGCCAUGGACAGGCAGGAAACUCAAUCUGCCAAGCUGGGGAGGGGGGAGGCAGAGGAGAAGCAGCAGUGAGAGCAGCAGGGAGCAGCUGCUGGACAUGGAUGGGAUGCAGCUGGGUGUUUGGGGCAGCAGGAGCUGUGGGCUGCAUGCAGAGAGCUACAGAUGAAGAGAGGGAUGCUCUGCAGCUGGAUCACCAAGGAUGGAGACUUGGGGUAGCACAAGGGGCAUUUCACUGGGAGGAGAAGCCUUGAAAGCAGCAAUUUCAGGUUUGCCUGCAGAGCUCCACUUUCAUCUGAGGGACACCCCACAGCAGCCCCAUGGCUGUGCAAAGCCUGCUGAGCUCCAGAGAACCUUCUCCGUGCCCACAUUGUUUGUGCUCUUGGGCCUGAGAUUUGGAUCAUUUGUCCUUGGUGCCCAGCUAGAGAAGGAAUUGUUUUGUCUCCCUGCUCUGUGAAGAGACCUCACCAUGCCCUCAUAUGAAGCCCAGACCCACACAGUAAAGCAGCACAGAAUCGGAAAAACAGAAAAACCAAAA